RNAcentral lists this microRNA precursor (70 nucleotides) under Myotis lucifugus (little brown bat). RNAcentral's name for it is "mir-9193 microRNA precursor family". It matches the Rfam family "mir-9193 microRNA precursor family". The record is from Rfam by way of RNAcentral. Lineage: Eukaryota; Metazoa; Chordata; Mammalia; Chiroptera; Vespertilionidae.
UUUGGGGGGGGUUCCUCAGCCCGGAUUGUGAGAGAGCUCAGGCCAGGCAGAGGGACUCCACUGGUGCAGG